This 398-nucleotide ribosomal RNA is filed under the name uncultured bacterium. RNAcentral describes it as "bacterial SSU rRNA". It matches the Rfam family "Bacterial small subunit ribosomal RNA", at positions 30 to 432 of the family's 1533-position model. The record is from RNAcentral.
AUUGAACGCUGGCGGCAUGCCUUACACAUGCAAGUCGAACGGCAGCACGGGAGCAAUCCUGGUGGCGAGUGGCGAACGGGUGAGUAAUAUAUCGGAACGUGCCCAGUCGUGGGGAUAACGUAGCGAAAGCUACGCUAAUACCGCAUACGAUCUAUGGAUGAAAGCGGGGGAUCGCAAGACCUCGCGCGAUUGGAGCGGCCGAUAUCAGAUUAGGUAGUUGGUGAGGUAAAGGCUCACCAAGCCGACGAUCUGUAGCUGGUCUGAGAGGACGACCAGCCACACUGGGACUGAGACACGGCCCAGACUCCUACGGGAGGCAGCAGUGGGGAAUUUUGGACAAUGGGCGCAAGCCUGAUCCAGCAAUGCCGCGUGCAGGAUGAAGGCCUCGGUUGUAACUG